Molecule: ribosomal RNA, 253 nt
Filed under: uncultured bacterium
Lineage: Bacteria
Description: partial 16S ribosomal RNA
Rfam family: Bacterial small subunit ribosomal RNA
Source: RNAcentral
UACGUAGGGUGCGAGCGUUGUCCGGAAUUAUUGGGCGUAAAGAGCUCGUAGGUGGUUUGUCGCGUUGUUCGUGAAAACUCACAGCUCAACUGUGGGCGUGCGGGCGAUACGGGCAGACUAGAGUACUGCAGGGGAGACUGGAAUUCCUGGUGUAGCGGUGGAAUGCGCAGAUAUCAGGAGGAACACCGGUGGCGAAGGCGGGUCUCUGGGCAGUAACUGACGCUGAGGAGCGAAAGCGUGGGGAGCGAACAGG